RNAcentral lists this ribosomal RNA (273 nucleotides) under uncultured bacterium. Its description in RNAcentral is "partial 16S ribosomal RNA". It matches the Rfam family "Bacterial small subunit ribosomal RNA", at positions 524 to 796 of the family's 1533-position model. The record is from RNAcentral.
CACGAACUGUGCAAACGUUAUUCGGAAUCACUGGGCUUAAAGAGUUCGUAGGCGGCGCGCUAAGUCGGGUGUGAAAGCCCUCGGCUCAACCGAGGAAUUGCGCCCGAUACUGGCGUGCUUGAGUGAGAUAGAGGUGAGCGGAACUGAUGGUGGAGCGGUGAAAUGCGUUGAUAUCAUCAGGAACACCGGUGGCGAAAGCGGCUCACUGGGUCUCAACUGACGCUGAGGAACGAAAGCUAGGGUAGCGAACGGGAUUAGAUACCCGCGUAGUCC